RNAcentral lists this ribosomal RNA (96 nucleotides) under uncultured bacterium. RNAcentral describes it as "partial 16S ribosomal RNA". It matches the Rfam family "Bacterial small subunit ribosomal RNA", at positions 400 to 508 of the family's 1533-position model. The record is from RNAcentral.
CGUGGGGGAUGACGGCCUUCGGGUUGUAAACCUCUUUCAGCAGGGACGAAGCGCAAGUGACGGUACCUGCAGAAGAAGCACCGGCCAACUACGUGC